GAUGAACGCUGGCGGCGUGCUUAACACAUGCAAGUCGAACGGUGAGGGCGGAGCUUGCUCCGCUGGAUCAGUGGCGAACGGGUGAGUAACACGUGAGCAAUCUGCCCCUGACUCUGGGAUAAGCGCUGGAAACGGCGUCUAAUACUGGAUACGAGCUGCGAAGGCAUCUUCAGCAGCUGGAAAGAAUUUCGGUCAGGGAUGAGCUCGCGGCCUAUCAGCUUGUUGGUGAGGUAAUGGCUCACCAAGGCGUCGACGGGUAGCCGGCCUGAGAGGGUGACCGGCCACACUGGGACUGAGACACGGCCCAGACUCCUACGGGAGGCAGCAGUGGGGAAUAUUGCACAAUGGGCGAAAGCCUGAUGCAGCAACGCCGCGUGAGGGACGACGGCCUUCGGGUUGUAAACCUCUUUUAGCAGGGAAGAAGCGAAAGUGACGGUACCUGCAGAAAAAGCGCCGGCUAACUACGUG
RNAcentral lists this ribosomal RNA (468 nucleotides) under uncultured bacterium. Its description in RNAcentral is "partial 16S ribosomal RNA". It matches the Rfam family "Bacterial small subunit ribosomal RNA", at positions 28 to 507 of the family's 1533-position model. The record is from RNAcentral.